CUCAAACUCCUGACCUAAGGUGAUCUGCCUGCCUCAGCCUCCCAAAGUGCUGGAAUUACAGGCGUGAGCUACUGUGCAGGCCCGGUCUUGACCAGAAUCAUUUCAAUCUUCCUUUUUGGACCAUUUGCAUCCAGAUUGUCUUCUGUGAAUCCAGCUUCAAAAAUGACCACCAGAGCAAUGUUCUUAAUAUUUAUGAGGAUACAUAAGGAAUGCAGAAGAUAUUGGUGGAGACCUUUUUUGGAGAGAAUGUUCGUGUACUGUGCAUUCUAGCUCCCUCUGUAGGGAAGUGAUCAGGUACUUCUCCACAAUCUCAAGCUGCCAGUUGAGUAAGCAGUGGUUUUGGAGAGUCACUGGGAGAGCUGCACAUGCCACCCAGGCAUUCAGAGCCAUCAAGAUCCCAUACCUGAUUUCCACCAGAAAACAUCUAAAGGAAGUCUCUGAAGAUGAAUUCCAAAACGGAAGAGGAGGGGACUGGAUCCAAGACAUCAGAGACUAGACAGGACCAAGAGCUCUUGAAGGACGGUCUCCAGGAACACAGCAUAGAAAGUGGACUCCACAACUGGAAGAACUUGAAGACAGGAAAAAGGCACAGAAGGAAAGAUUAUAAAUAAACAGUUUUACCCUAGGUAAAACAAAACACUGGAUGAGAAA
Long non-coding RNA from Macaca mulatta (Rhesus monkey), 651 nucleotides. RefSeq lists it as uncharacterized. Lineage: Eukaryota; Metazoa; Chordata; Mammalia; Primates; Cercopithecidae. The record is from RefSeq and is a predicted model, not a curated record.